GUCAUUUAACCUCAUUAUGUUAUUUCAGUGCUUGUUUCCAUGGCAACUCCUUCAACUUCACUGUGUUAGUAACCAUAGAUUCACAGCCCUGGAAGGACUCGGAAAGUACGCAAUAGAAUGCUCUCACUGUUCAAUUAAGGAACUGAAACCCAGACUCCCGGGCUUUCGACUUACCCACUUUCAGCCCACUAGUUAAUGUCAGAGCAGGAAGUAUAAGGUAGAGCUCUCUUGAGAGAUCAGAAUUUGCAGUAGAUCUGUGACUUAGAAGAUACAUACCAGCUGACUCUCAGAUACUGUAGAAGAUGGUGAGGAGAGAUUUGCCUGCAAAACACGAACAUGGUGUUUAUUAGUGAAACUCAUACUUUAUUAAAAUAUUUAUGUGUUUAAGUA
Long non-coding RNA from Symphalangus syndactylus (siamang), 390 nucleotides. RefSeq lists it as uncharacterized. The record is from RefSeq and is a predicted model, not a curated record. NCBI's taxonomy places the organism in Eukaryota, Metazoa, Chordata, Mammalia, Primates, Hylobatidae.